This 253-nucleotide ribosomal RNA is filed under the name uncultured bacterium. Its description in RNAcentral is "partial 16S ribosomal RNA". It matches the Rfam family "Bacterial small subunit ribosomal RNA", at positions 524 to 776 of the family's 1533-position model. The record is from RNAcentral.
UACGUAGGGGGCUAGCGUUGUCCGGAUUUAUUGGGCGUAAAGAGCGUGUAGGCGGCCAGAUAGGUCUGCUGUGAAAACUCGAGGCUCAACCUCGAGAUGUCGGCGGAAACCAUUUGGCUAGAGUCCGGAAGAGGAAAGUGGAAUUCCUGGUGUAGCGGUGAAAUGCGCAGAUAUCAGGAAGAACACCCGUGGCGAAGGCGGCUUUCUGGGACGGUACUGACGCUGAGGUGCGAAAGCGUGGGGAGCGAACAGG